ACCAAGUUUAAUCAUUCCCAAAGGUUCUGUACAGCUGUAAUCAGACAGCAAAACAUUUCAGACAUCACAGUUAUAUACAUCCUACUUAAAAGACACUCCCUCUCUCCAUCCUUAGUUUAUGCCCAAGAGAAAGAAGGUAACCAGAUACUAACCCUGAUUACUCCCUUAAGGGGAACUGACCUCACCCCUCACCUCCUGACCUCAACCCCUCCUUCACCUAAUCCACAGCUCUCCUCUCCUCCAUCAAACACAUUCCAAAGCCUUCUGGGUUGUUACAGACUCUUUCUAUUCAAGGCUUCGUCUCUAUCAUUUAUUUCAUAUGUCAAUGUUCAAAGUUUAGCCGAUUCCAACAAGGCCAACAGUCAGUGUCCAGAAUUCAGUUACUUUAUAGGCCUGCAGUCAGUGUCCAGAUUUCAGUUACUUUAUAGGCCAGCAGUCAGUGUCCAGAUUUCAGUUACUUUAUAGGCCUGCAGUCAGUGUCCAGAUUUCAGUUACUUUAUAGGCCAACAGUCAGUUUCCAGAUUUCAGUUACUUUAUAGGCCUGCAGCCAGUUUCCAGAUUUCAGUUACUUUAUAGGCCAGCAGUCAGUUUCCAGAUUUCAGUUACUUUAUAGGCCUGCAGCCAGUUUCCAGAUUUCAGUUACUUUAUAGGCCAGCAGUCAGUGUCCAUGUGCUGCCAUCCUGUUAAAAGGUAACAGAUUAUUUUAUUACAAUGGUUAAAUUGGAUUUUCAUUGUGUUCAAUGGUGUUAUUUGCCCCCUAGUGGCGCUUUCUGGUACUUAGAAAGACAACGCAAACGGGAAGUUCAGAAUUUGUUUUGCACGCAUAGAAGCAGCUACAAACAACGCUACGGUGCAGGUCUUUCAAUGUAGUUAUUUCUUGUCACGCUUCAGCCUUGGAAAAAUAUUUGUUUUUUCACAACAUAAACGUUUUCAAUAUAUUCAUUCAAGAA
This is a long non-coding RNA of Oncorhynchus nerka (sockeye salmon), 950 nucleotides long. RefSeq lists it as uncharacterized. The record is from RefSeq and is a predicted model, not a curated record. NCBI's taxonomy places the organism in Eukaryota, Metazoa, Chordata, Actinopteri, Salmoniformes, Salmonidae. The transcript is spliced from 2 exons.